UUGUGCUAAGGUAGCAUAAUCAUUUGUCUUUUAAUUGAAGACUAGAACAAAAGAUUGAACAUUUUAAUUAAUAUAUAAACUUUAAAUUUUAAAUUUAUUUUAAAAGUAAAAAAACUUUUAUGUUUAAGGAAGACGACAAGACCCUAUUAAACUUAACUUUAGUUAAACUGGGGCAGUUAAUUAAUUAUUAUUUUAAUUUAAAUAAAAAUAUAAAUGAUCCAACAAAAUUGAUUAAAUGAUCCAGUUACUAUAGGGAUAACAGCGUAAUAUUUAUUUAAAGAUCUUAUUUAAAUAAAAGAUUACGACCUCGAUGUUGAUUUAAUAACCUAAAUUGUUGCAAUAAACAAAAUAAGG
Molecule: ribosomal RNA, 354 nt
Filed under: Monapia charrua
Lineage: Eukaryota; Metazoa; Arthropoda; Arachnida; Araneae; Anyphaenidae
Description: partial 16S ribosomal RNA
Source: RNAcentral